ACGUUGAAACCGUGCUCCCUUACGAUUACUGAAGUUAAGCAAUGUCGAGCCUGGUCAAUACCUAGAUGGGUGAUCUCUAGGGAAUACCAAGUGGUGUAA
Non-coding RNA from Acanthosepion pharaonis, 99 nucleotides. NCBI's taxonomy places the organism in Eukaryota, Metazoa, Mollusca, Cephalopoda, Sepiida, Sepiidae. The record is from the annotation of a GenBank genome assembly.